This 238-nucleotide ribosomal RNA is filed under the name uncultured bacterium. Its description in RNAcentral is "partial 16S ribosomal RNA". It matches the Rfam family "Bacterial small subunit ribosomal RNA", at positions 15 to 248 of the family's 1533-position model. The record is from RNAcentral.
GAUCCUGGCUCAGGAUGAACGCUAGCGACAGGCUUAACACAUGCAAGUCGAGGGGCAUCAUGAGGUAGCAAUACCUUGAUGGCGACCGGCGCACGGGUGAGUAACGCGUAUGCAACCUGCCCGGAUACCGGGGUAUAGCCCAUGGAAACGUGGAUUAACACCCCAUAGUACUUUUAUCCUGCAUGGGAUAGGAGUUAAAUGUUCAAGGUAUCGGAUGGGCAUGCGUCCUAUUAGUUAG